UUUGACGCAAGGUUGCGCCUGAAGCCAUUAGGUUGAAGGCACGUCUGCCUGGGCGUCACGC
This 61-nucleotide ribosomal RNA is filed under the name Rhododendron excellens. RNAcentral describes it as "partial 5.8S ribosomal RNA". The record is from RNAcentral. Lineage: Eukaryota; Viridiplantae; Streptophyta; Magnoliopsida; Ericales; Ericaceae.